CGAGAGAUACGGGGCGACGACCCGCAGCCUCACAUCCGGGCACUUCGACUGCGGCGAGCCAGUAGUGCGACCGACGUACCCAACC
RNAcentral lists this non-coding RNA (85 nucleotides) under unclassified sequences. Its description in RNAcentral is "c-di-GMP sequence". It matches the Rfam family "Cyclic di-GMP-II riboswitch aptamer". The record is from Rfam by way of RNAcentral.